RNAcentral lists this long non-coding RNA (365 nucleotides) under Chrysolophus pictus (golden pheasant). RNAcentral's name for it is "lncRNA (ENSCPIG00010010253.1)". The record is from RNAcentral. Lineage: Eukaryota; Metazoa; Chordata; Aves; Galliformes; Phasianidae.
CUAUUUCUUAGGGAGAUCCAGGUGCUCCUGGGGCUUUGGGCAGGAAAGGAGAAAAAGGAUCCCAAGGUCAGCCAGGACAUAAAGGAGCACCAGGACUACCCGGGUUCAGAGGAGAAACAGGAGUUGCUGGAAACCCAGGGAAACUUGGACUUCCUGGAGAUGUUGGUGUUAAAGGACAGCAGGGCCACCCAGGACAACAGGGUGUUACAGGCCCUCCUGGUGCUGCUGGAUACCCUGGAGAAAAUGGACUUGCUGGUGAAAGAGGUAAUCAGGGUCAGGAUGGUAUGCCGGGUGCCCCAGGAGUAAAGGGAGAACCAGGUAACUGCAGUGAAAUACUUGCGUUAUAUUUUAAAAAUUACUUUUUU